AGUGAACGCUGGCGGUAGGCCUAACACAUGCAAGUCGAACGGCAGCACAGUAAGAGCUUGCUCUUACGGGUGGCGAGUGGCGGACGGGUGAGGAAUACAUCGGAAUCUACUUUUUCGUGGGGGAUAACGUAGGGAAACUUACGCUAAUACCGCAUACGACCUACGGGUGAAAGCAGGGGAUCUUCGGACCUUGCGCGACUGAAUGAGCCGAUGCCGGAUUAGCUAGUUGGCGGGGUAAAGGCCCACCAAGGCGACGAUCCGUAGCUGGCCUGAGAGGAUGAUCAGCCACACUGGAACUGAGACACGGUCCAGACUCCUACGGGAGGCAGCAGUGGGGAAUAUUGGACAAUGGGCGCAAGCCUGAUCCAGCCAUACCGCGUGGGUGAAGAAGGCCUUCGGGUUGUAAAGCCCUUUUGUUGGGAAAGAAAAGCAGCAGGUUAAUACCCCGCUGUUCUGACGGUACCCAAAGAAUAAGCACCGGCUAACUUCGUG
This 492-nucleotide ribosomal RNA is filed under the name uncultured bacterium. RNAcentral's name for it is "partial 16S ribosomal RNA". It matches the Rfam family "Bacterial small subunit ribosomal RNA", at positions 29 to 507 of the family's 1533-position model. The record is from RNAcentral.